This 207-nucleotide ribosomal RNA is filed under the name uncultured bacterium. Its description in RNAcentral is "partial 16S ribosomal RNA". It matches the Rfam family "Bacterial small subunit ribosomal RNA", at positions 568 to 774 of the family's 1533-position model. The record is from RNAcentral.
UGCGUAGGCGGAAUGGUAAGUCAGGGGUGAAAGUUUGCGGCUCAACCGUAAAAUUGCCUUUGAUACUGUCAUUCUUGAGUACAUUUGAGGUAGGCGGAAUGUGGCGUGUAGCGGUGAAAUGCUUAGAUAUGCCACAGAACACCGAUUGCGAAGGCAGCUUACUAAACUGUAACUGACGCUGAUGCACGAAAGCGUGGGGAUCGAACA